CAAUAGCGUAUAUUAAAGCUGUUGCGGUUAAAAAGCUCGUAGUUGGAUUUCUGUCAAGGACAACUGGUCCGCCCUCCGGGUGAGCACAUAGUUUGGUCUUGGCAUCUUGCUGGAAACUGUUGCUGCGCUUGGUUGUGUGGUGCAGCUUUCAGCACUUUCACUUUGAGGAAAUUGGAGUGUUUCAAGCAGGCACAUGCCUUUGGACACAGUAGCAUGGAAUAAUUAGAUUGGGCUUUUGCUCCAACUUGUUGGUUCCUGGAGCUGAGGUGAGAAUCAAUGGGGAUUGUUGGGGGCAUCCGAAUUUAGCCGUCAGAGGUGAAAUUCUUGGAUCUGCUAAAGACGGACAACUGCGAAAGCGUUUGUCCAGGAUGUUUUCAUUGA
This 381-nucleotide ribosomal RNA is filed under the name uncultured eukaryote. RNAcentral describes it as "partial 18S ribosomal RNA". It matches the Rfam family "Eukaryotic small subunit ribosomal RNA", at positions 592 to 976 of the family's 1831-position model. The record is from RNAcentral.